UACGGAGGGUGCGAGCGUUAAUCGGAAUUACUGGGCGUAAAGGGUGCGUAGGUGGUUUGUUAAGUUAGUUUUGAAAUUCCUGGGCUUAACCUGGGCUGGAGGACUAAUACUGAUGAACUGGAGUAUAGGAGAGGGUAGUGGAAUUUCCGGUGUAGCGGUGAAAUGCGUAGAGAUCGGAAGGAACACCAGUGGCGAAGGCGGCUACCUGGCCAGAUACUGACACUGAAGCACGAAAGCGUGGGGAGCAAACAGG
Molecule: ribosomal RNA, 253 nt
Filed under: uncultured bacterium
Lineage: Bacteria
Description: partial 16S ribosomal RNA
Rfam family: Bacterial small subunit ribosomal RNA
Source: RNAcentral